GGUCUCACUAUGCAGUCCAGGCUGGCCUUGAGCUCACUUUGUAGCCCAGGCUGGUCUCGAACUCACAACAAUCCUCCUGCCUCAGCCUCCCGAGUGCUGGGAUGACAGGCGUGAGCCACCAUAGCCCG
RNAcentral lists this microRNA precursor (128 nucleotides) under Cavia aperea (Brazilian guinea pig). Its description in RNAcentral is "miRNA (ENSCAPG00000003995.1)". The record is from RNAcentral. Lineage: Eukaryota; Metazoa; Chordata; Mammalia; Rodentia; Caviidae.